AUAGUAUAUCAUGAGUCUACGGGA
Molecule: non-coding RNA, 24 nt
Filed under: Arabidopsis thaliana (thale cress)
Lineage: Eukaryota; Viridiplantae; Streptophyta; Magnoliopsida; Brassicales; Brassicaceae
Source: RNAcentral